RNAcentral lists this non-coding RNA (89 nucleotides) under Polytomella parva. The record is from RNAcentral. Lineage: Eukaryota; Viridiplantae; Chlorophyta; Chlorophyceae; Chlamydomonadales; Chlamydomonadaceae.
UUGAAGAAGGCGUCCACAAUGGACAUUUUGGUGUGAUUUUUCUUAUGUUUUUUAUUUUUAAUAUUAUUAAUAUUAUUAAUAUUAUUAUU